GAUGAACGCUGGCGGCGUGCCUAAUACAUGCAAGUCGAGCGAACAGACGAGGAGCUUGCUCCUCUGACGUUAGCGGCGGACGGGUGAGUAACACGUGGAUAACCUACCUAUAAGACUGGGAUAACUUCGGGAAACCGGAGCUAAUACCGGAUAAUAUAUUGAACCGCAUGGUUCAAUAGUGAAAGACGGUUUUGCUGUCACUUAUGGAUGGAUCCGCGCCGCAUUAGCUAGUUGGUAAGGUAACGGCUUACCAAGGCAACGAUGCGUAGCCGACCCGAGAGGGUGAUCGGCCACACUGGAACUGAGACACGGUCCAGACUCCUACGGGAGGCAGCAGUAGGGAAUCUUCCGCAAUGGGCGAAAGCCUGACGGAGCAACGCCGCGUGAGUGAUGAAGGUCUUCGGAUCGUAAAACUCUGUUAUUAGGGAAGAACAAAUGUGUAAGUAACUAUGCACGUCUUGACGGUACCUAAUCAGAAAGCCACGGCUAACUACGUG
RNAcentral lists this ribosomal RNA (497 nucleotides) under uncultured bacterium. RNAcentral's name for it is "partial 16S ribosomal RNA". It matches the Rfam family "Bacterial small subunit ribosomal RNA", at positions 28 to 507 of the family's 1533-position model. The record is from RNAcentral.